AGCAGGGUAGGGAAGCAGCAUUCCGGCGGGCCCAUAACCCGCAGACCGGUGGUUCGAAUCCGCUCCCUGCUA
Molecule: transfer RNA, 72 nt
Filed under: Cenarchaeum sp. SB0661_bin_35
Lineage: Archaea; Thermoproteati; Nitrososphaerota; Candidatus Cenarchaeales; Candidatus Cenarchaeaceae
Also listed under: 3 other names
Description: tRNA-Met
Rfam family: tRNA
About the family: Transfer RNA (tRNA) molecules are approximately 80 nucleotides in length. Their secondary structure includes four short double-helical elements and three loops (D, anti-codon, and T loops). Further hydrogen bonds mediate the characteristic L-shaped molecular structure. tRNAs have two regions of fundamental functional importance: the anti-codon, which is responsible for specific mRNA codon recognition, and the 3' end, to which the tRNAs corresponding amino acid is attached (by aminoacyl-tRNA synthetases). tRNAs cope with the degeneracy of the genetic code in two manners: having more than one tRNA (with a specific anti-codon) for a particular amino acid; and 'wobble' base-pairing, i.e. permitting non-standard base-pairing at the 3rd anti-codon position.
Source: RNAcentral